This 2180-nucleotide long non-coding RNA is filed under the name Homo sapiens (human). RNAcentral's name for it is "HSALNT0191856". Lineage: Eukaryota; Metazoa; Chordata; Mammalia; Primates; Hominidae. The record is from RNAcentral.
CUGAAACAAAUAUGAAUACCAGAACUGUAGAUAUAGAGUGUCAUAGUUUAGGUUUCCUGAGAGCAGACCCCAAAACAAUGAUCCAAGUGCAAGUAAUUUAUUUGGCUGAUGAUUCCAGGAAAUACUGGGAAGGGAGUUAGGGAGACAGAAACCAGAAGAUAGAAACUAAAGGCCACUUCAUUGAACACAUCACAAUGGUGCCCACACCAGCGAAGGAGCCAAGAGGUCAUUAGAACUCCAUUUUCCACUCUUGAUACUGCUCAUUGAAAACAUUCAUUCCUCUUCCAUUCCUUUACCGAUGAGAAGGCGAGGCUAUAGUGAGAUGGGGGUCUUCCUGUGCCACAUCACCAAGCACCAUCGCUACUGGGUCCCCACACACCUAUCCUGUACUAGCAGAGUCCAUAAGAGCACUGCAAAAGAUGAUACAUUUCAGUACGAGUGGGGCUCUCUCUCCUAGACGCCAUCUCUAACCCUUCUGAUAAGUGUUCUUUAGGUGGUUCUCACUCCAGUGGAGCAAUUCAGCAGAAUAAAAAUGAUUUAUGAUAAAACUACAAAGCUGCUGGAAUGUACAUGAAGAUAUUGAAAAGUUGUUCGCUCACACGAAGCUUUCAGUCCUGCCACUCGGCAGGUCCCAAGUUCUUGUCCUAUUUCAAGGAAGAAGGAAGCAUGCAGACAACUGGAGGGGAAACAAGGCAGAGAGGAGCUUCAUUGAGAGAAAGAACAGCUCUCAGGAUACCCAAAGUGGGUAGCUCCUUUCUGCAGGCAGGUCAUCCAGACAAGAGUCCAGUUCUCAGCGGAGAGGAGACCCAGAGUGGGUAGCUCCUUUCCACAGGCAGGUCAUGCAGGUGAGCUGAGAAAACUUGAAGUGGGUAGCACCUUCUCACAGCUGGUAGUCCCAGUGUCUCUGUGAGUCUGGCUGAGUCCAGGGGUUUUUGUGGGCUUCAGAAGGGAGGAGGUGCAUGCUGAUUGGUCUAUGGGUAACCAUGGGUGGGCCCUAAAAAGCACCGUAAGUUCUCGCUCUUGGCACAGAUUCCACCUGCAACUGGCAGCCUGGGCCCCAUGCUUCAGGCCAUCCCUGGCUUGAAGAUGGGGCUUCACUCACCCCUUUCUGCCCAGGAGCCUGUCUGCUUCCUGCUGCCAUCAAUCAUGUCAUCCACAGCAUCCACCCAGGCUGUUCAAGUGGAGCGCAUGUCAAGCCACCCUCACCCACCCUGUGCCCCCCACCAUGCUCCUCAGCGCCCAAAGUCCGGAGGGGGCUGAGGAGGCAGGGGGCUGAUGUGUCAGCACUGCCCUGAGCAAGCAUACACCCAGCCAGGUUGCGACAGUGCCUGCCUGGGCUCAGCCUCAACUUUGCUCCAAAAUCAGAGCAGGCACUGGGAGAGAGGAGAGGCCAGUCCACGGGGACAGACACUUCUGAGACUGUGGGGGAAGAGGGGCUUCCUGGCCCGAGAGUACAAGGAUGCCUGGGUCUGGAACUGCAACAGGGCAGCUGCAUCUGUGCCUGGUGAGCAGACAGACCCUGACCCGCCAACUUAGAAGGGGAUGGAUCCCCCACUCCUGCUCCCCAUCCCCCUCCCCAUGGGGCACGCAGCCCCAGACACGCCUUCCCAGCUGCAGCCCAAGUCUUCACAGUGGCCGUUCUAGACGGGCUGCCACUGCCAUCAUAUAUAUGUGUGUACGCACUAAAAAUAGAAUUCUUACAAAGUAACUAAAAACAAAGAAGACAAGUGACCUAGUAGAAAAAGAAGCGGAGUAUAUACACAUAUAUGAUGAAGCAAUUCACACAAGAACAAAUAUGGAUGGUGAUACAGUUUGGCUCUGUGUCCCCAUCCGCAUUUUAUCUUGAAUCGUAAUCUCCACAUGUUGGAGGAGUGGCCUGGUGGAAGGUGAUUGGAUUAUGGGGGCACAUUUCCCCCUCACUAUUCUCCUGAUAGUGGAUAAGUUCUCAUGAGACCUGACGGUCUACAAGUAUGUGGCACUUCUCUCUCUGCUGCUCCACAAUGUGAAAAUGAACUUGCUUCCCCUUCACCUUCUGCCGUGACUGUAAGUUUCCUGAGGCCUCCCAAGCCAUGCUUCCUGUUAAGCCUGCAGAACUGUGAGUCAAUUAAACCUCUUUUCUUCAAAAAUUACCCAGUCUCAGGUGUUUCUUUACAACAGUGUGAGAAAGGAUUAAUACAGAU